RNAcentral lists this non-coding RNA (26 nucleotides) under Cricetulus griseus (Chinese hamster). The record is from RNAcentral. Lineage: Eukaryota; Metazoa; Chordata; Mammalia; Rodentia; Cricetidae.
AGAAGAACGGAACAGGACAGAGAGUG